Molecule: ribosomal RNA, 426 nt
Filed under: Triticum aestivum (bread wheat)
Lineage: Eukaryota; Viridiplantae; Streptophyta; Magnoliopsida; Poales; Poaceae
Description: partial small subunit ribosomal RNA
Source: RNAcentral
AUGAUCGUUUCCUAUGAUCGCAGCUUUCUAAAACCUUCAGUACAGGAUGGAAGGCCCAUACUCUCAUGGACGCCACCACCUGUGGGCUGGGUAAAAUUGAACUCUGAUGGGUCUUUUGCUCCGGAUGGUGCAGGAGCGGGCAUGGUAUUGCGAGAUCCUCAGGGAACAAUCAUCUUCUCAGCGUGCAGGAAAUUUUUCUCUUGUCGUGAAGCAUUGGAGGCGGAGCUGAGCGCCUGUAUGGAAGGUUUAUCACUGGCGAUUCAGAGAAGUGAUUUCCCGGUCAUAGUGGAGAUGGAUUCAUUAAUGGCAGUGAAGAUGAUCCAAGGCAAAGAACAAGAUAGAUCCAUUUAUACUUCUUUAGUUAAAGAGAUUAGGUAUCUCUGUUCCCUUCGUGAGGUUUGUAUUACUCAUGUGAGCCGUCUAUAA